RNAcentral lists this ribosomal RNA (443 nucleotides) under uncultured bacterium. RNAcentral's name for it is "partial 16S ribosomal RNA". It matches the Rfam family "Bacterial small subunit ribosomal RNA", at positions 338 to 795 of the family's 1533-position model. The record is from RNAcentral.
CCUACGGGAGGCAGCAGUGGGGAAUAUUGGGCAAUGGGCGCAAGCCUGACCCAGCAACGCCGCGUGAAGGAAGAAGGCUUUCGGGUUGUAAACUUCUUUUCUCAGGGACGAAGCAAGUGACGGUACCUGAGGAAUAAGCCACGGCUAACUACGUGCCAGCAGCCGCGGUAAUACGUAGGUGGCAAGCGUUAUCCGGAUUUACUGGGUGUAAAGGGCGUGUAGGCGGGAAAGCAAGUCAGAUGUGAAAACCAUGGGCUCAACCUGUGGCCUGCAUUUGAAACUGUUUUUCUUGAGUACUGGGGAGGCAGACGGAAUUCCUAGGGUAGCGGUGAAAUGCGUAGAUAUUAGGAGGAACACCAGUGGCGAAGGCGGUCUGCUGGACAGCAACUGACGCUGAGGCGCGAAAGCGUGGGGAGCAAACAGGAUUAGAUACCCGUGUAGUC